CUACGGGGUGCUGCAGUGGGGAAUAUUGCACAAUGGAGGAAACUCUGAUGCAGCAACGCCGCGUGGAGGAUGACACUUUUCGGAGCGUAAACCCCUUUUAUAUAGGAAGAAGAUGACGGUACUAUAUGAAUAAGCGCCGGUUAACUCCGUGCCAGCAGCCGCGGUAAUACGGAGGGCGCAAGCGUUACUCGGAAUCACUGGGCGUAAAGAGCGUGUAGGCGGAUUAAAAAGUCAGAAGUGAAAUCCUAUAGCUUAACUAUAGAACUGCUUCUGAAACUCUUAAUCUAGAAUAUGGGAGAGGUAGAUGGAAUUUCUGGUGUAGGGGUAAAAUCCGUAGAGAUCAGAAGGAAUACCGAUUGCGAAGGCGAUCUACUAGAACAUUAUUGACGCUGAGACGCGAAAGCGUGGGGAGCAAACAGGAUUAGAUACCCUAGUAGUC
This 439-nucleotide ribosomal RNA is filed under the name uncultured bacterium. RNAcentral describes it as "partial 16S ribosomal RNA". It matches the Rfam family "Bacterial small subunit ribosomal RNA", at positions 339 to 795 of the family's 1533-position model. The record is from RNAcentral.